This 1835-nucleotide long non-coding RNA is filed under the name Homo sapiens (human). RNAcentral describes it as "HSALNT0301424". Lineage: Eukaryota; Metazoa; Chordata; Mammalia; Primates; Hominidae. The record is from RNAcentral.
UCCUUUCUACCUUUCUGCCUCUCUCAGUAAAGGCUGUUAUUAAGUAACAAAUUCGGGUGGGUCAAGGGCAGAGUAACCAAGAGAUCUCAGCAAGCAUGAGGGAGAUUCAAGGAGCUGGCAUUGUGUGACUGGGGACAGAAAAGCCCUCAUGCAGGCAGGCGGGUCACAAUUGUUCCCUUCAGAUUUCUGAGGGGCUGCCUUGGUGGGAGAGGGGGUAGUUCAGUUCUGUGGGGCUCCAGGGGGCAAAAGGCAUGAUAAAUGAGUAGAAGUCAUGGAGAGGUGGAGCUUGCCUCCAGACAGAAUGCUAAGAAGGAUGCUGCUGCACAGUGGGGACUGAGCCAACUCACUGUUCAACAAAUAAGCAUUGGAGGGUCUCUAGUUCCAUAGAAAGAAGGCAAAUGAAGAGGACAGAAGAAGGAGAGAGACCUUCCCACCCCAUCAGCCCUAUGCUGCAGAGAGGGAUCCCACAUCUACUUCUCUUGCAGAAACCAACUGGUGGAAGUGACCUUCUCAUGGAGUGUCCUUCACAAGAUCUGGCACAUUUUCCAGCUGCCUGUAGGUAUUCUGGAAGCGUUGGUGGUUUCAGUGGCAAAAACAUCAAGGGCUCUGCGGUGAUUACUUCUGGAGAGGCAGCUGCGGGGAGCACCAUGUUCAAGUGCAGGAGCACCAGCUGGGAGUCUACUCCGCCCCGACUGCCAGUGGGGCCUCGGCAAUUUGUUUUCCCCUAUGGAGUCCAAGUUUCCCAACUCAUUCUUUCCUCUCAUCAAUGAAGAGUCAGUAAGCACAGACGCUGUGCCAGGAAUCAUGAGAGGUAUUGCUAUGGGAAAGAUGACCAGACUCAAACCACCCACAGAGAGGAAGAGAGACAUGGAAAUCACCUCCAUAAAACAUAAUGGAUGCAUGCCCACUAGGAUGGCUAAAAUUAAAAAGACAGAUAAUAUGACGUGUUGGCAAAGAUAUGGAGAAAGUGGGCCCCUCGUAGGAUGCUAAAUGCCCAGAAUAGGCAAAUCUAUAGAAACAAAGAUUAGUGGUUGGUUCAGGCUAAUGGCAGGGGGUUUGGAGCAAAAUGGGGAGAGAUACUACAGGUUCCUUUUCGGGGUGAUAAAAAUGUUCUAAAAUAAAAUUGUGAUGAUGGUUGAACAACCCUGUGACUAUAUGGAAAACAGGGAAUUGUACACUUGAAGUGGGUGAAUUGUAUGUGAAUUGUAUCUCAAAACUAUUCAUAAAAAGUAAUGGCAAUGAUGAUAUUUGGAUGGAUCCACUGGAUUGUGGGGGAAGGAUCCAGAGGGAGAAGAACCAGUGGUACUUGUGGGGGAUGGCCAGGGAGGCUUUCUGAAAGAAUCGACUCAGGGCGAGUCUUGAAGUAGAUGUGACUCGAGAAAGGAAAGGGGAGACCAUGUGAGCAAAGCCAUGGAGGCAUGAAGGAUCUGUAAGGUGGUUCCAUACAGCCGGAGCUGGGGUGCAUGGAGGAGGGAGAGGAUGAGGGGCAGGUGGGGAAUGGGACUUGGAAGGCGAGGGAAGUCUGGGCAUAGAGGACUUCCAAUGUCACAUUAGAGCUGGGCUUUAUCCUGCACAUUUUCUCUGUGCCUUGAGGAUGCUGAUAGCAUCACUUACAAGAUCUUGUUUGGUUCUUGACUUAUAUGACUACGGACCAGGCUAUUUCUAGACCACAAAUCUUAGCUCUGCCUCUUGAAGACUGUGUGGCUUUGCCAUGAGAGGAGUCACAAGUGUCAGUGGAUAUCAGGAAGGCUGUCCAUGCUCUCAUGCCUGGGAUAAUGGGGACAACGGGGUUAUGAGCAUGGGCUGGGCUCAGGCAGGGUGGGGCAGCCCCAUCU